CGCAAGCCUGACGGAGCAAGACCGCGUGGGGGAGGAAUGCCUUAGGGUUGUAAACCCCUUUUAUCUGGGAAGAACAAAAUGACGGUACCAGAUGAAUAAGCCUCGGCUAACUCCGUGCCAGCAGCCGCGGUAAUACGGAGGAGGAAAGCGUUAUCCGGAUUUAUUGGGCGUAAAGAGUCCGUAGGUGGUUCAUCAAGUCUGCUGUUAAAGCGUGCAGCUCAACUGCAUAUAGGCAGUAGAUACUGAAGGACUAGAGUGCGGUAGGGGCAGAGGGAAUUCCCGGUGUAGCGGUGAAAUGCGUAGAUUUCGGGAAGAACAUCGGUGGCGAAAGCGCUCUGCUGGGCCGCAACUGACACUCAGGGACGAAAGCUAGGGGAGCG
Molecule: ribosomal RNA, 380 nt
Filed under: uncultured cyanobacterium
Lineage: Bacteria; Bacillati; Cyanobacteriota
Description: bacterial SSU rRNA
Rfam family: Bacterial small subunit ribosomal RNA
Source: RNAcentral